This 425-nucleotide ribosomal RNA is filed under the name uncultured bacterium. Its description in RNAcentral is "partial 16S ribosomal RNA". It matches the Rfam family "Bacterial small subunit ribosomal RNA", at positions 354 to 796 of the family's 1533-position model. The record is from RNAcentral.
GUGGGGGAUAUUGCACAAUGGAGGAAACUCUGAUGCAGCGACGCCGCGUGAGUGAAGAAGUAUUUCGGUAUGUAAAGCUCUAUCAGCAGGGAAGAUAAUGACAGUACCUGACUAAGAAGCCCCGGCUAACUACGUGCCAGCAGCCGCGGUAAUACGUAGGGGGCAAGCGUUAUCCGGAUUUACUGGGUGUAAAGGGAGCGUAGACGGAAUGGCAAGUCUGAAGUGAAAUCCUGCGGCUUAACUGCAGAAUUGCUUUGGAAACUGUCAAUCUGGAGUGUGGGAGAGGUAAGCGGAAUUCCUGGUGUAGCGGUGAAAUGCGUAGAUAUCAGGAAGAACACCGGAGGCGAAGGCGGCUUACUGGACAAUAACUGACGUUGAGGCUCGAAAGCGUGGGAAGCAAACAGGAUUAGAAACCCGUGUAGUCC